UACGUAGGUGGCAAGCGUUGUCCGGAUUUACUGGGCGUAAAGAGCGCGCAGGCGGUCGUUCAAGUCGCGUGUGAAAGCCCCCCGGCUCAACUGGGGAGGGUCACGCGAUACUGAUCGACUCGAAGGCAGGAGAGGGAAGUGGAAUUCCCGGUGUAGUGGUGAAAUGCGUAGAUAUCGGGAGGAACACCAGUGGCGAAGGCGACUUCCUGGCCUGUUCUUGACGCUGAGGUGCGAAAGCUAGGGUAGCAAACGGG
Molecule: ribosomal RNA, 254 nt
Filed under: uncultured bacterium
Lineage: Bacteria
Description: partial 16S ribosomal RNA
Rfam family: Bacterial small subunit ribosomal RNA
Source: RNAcentral